GACGAACGCUGGCGGCGUGCUUAACACAUGCAAGUCGAGCGGUAAGGCCCUUUCGGGGGUACACGAGCGGCGAACGGGUGAGUAACACGUGGGUGACCUGCCCUCAGCUCUGGGAUAAGCCUGGGAAACCGGGUCUAAUACUGGAUAUGACUCCAUGACGCAUGUUGUGAGGUGGAAAGCCUUGUGCGGCUGAGGAUGGGCCCGCGGCCUAUCAGCUUGUUGGUGGGGUGAUGGCCUACCAAGGCGACGACGGGUAGCCGGCCUGAGAGGGCGACCGGCCACACUGGGACUGAGACACGGCCCAGACUCCUACGGGAGGCAGCAGUGGGGAAUCUUGCGCAAUGGGCGAAAGCCUGACGCAGCGACGCCGCGUGAGGGAUGAAGGUCUUCGGAUUGUAAACCCCUUUCGGGAGGGAAGAUGGAAUGGGGUAACCCAUUCGGACGGUACCUCCAGAAGCAGCCACGGCUAACUUCGUGCC
This 479-nucleotide ribosomal RNA is filed under the name uncultured bacterium. RNAcentral describes it as "bacterial SSU rRNA". It matches the Rfam family "Bacterial small subunit ribosomal RNA", at positions 28 to 509 of the family's 1533-position model. The record is from RNAcentral.